GACGAACGCUGGCGGCGUGCUUAACACAUGCAAGUCGAACGGUAAGGCCCAGCUUGCUGGGUACACGAGUGGCGAACGGGUGAGUAACACGUGGGUGAUCUGCCCUGCACUCUGGGAUAAGCCUGGGAAACUGGGUCUAAUACCGGAUAUGAGCUUCUGCCGCAUGGUGGGGGUUGGAAAGGUUUACUGGUGCAGGAUGAGCCCGCGGCCUAUCAGCUUGUUGGUGGGGUAAUGGCCUACCAAGGCGACGACGGGUAGCCGGCCUGAGAGGGGGACCGGCCACACUGGGACUGAGACACGGCCCAGACUCCUACGGGAGGCAGCAGUGGGGAAUAUUGCACAAUGGGCGAAAGCCUGAUGCAGCGACGCCGCGUGAGGGAUGACGGCCUUCGGGUUGUAAACCUCUUUCAGCAUCGACGAAGCGCAAGUGACGGUAGAUGCAGAAGAAGCACCGGCCAACUACGUGCCAGCCGCCGCCGUAACAC
RNAcentral lists this ribosomal RNA (485 nucleotides) under uncultured bacterium. RNAcentral's name for it is "bacterial SSU rRNA". It matches the Rfam family "Bacterial small subunit ribosomal RNA", at positions 28 to 526 of the family's 1533-position model. The record is from RNAcentral.